This is a long non-coding RNA of Anguilla rostrata (American eel), 887 nucleotides long. RefSeq lists it as uncharacterized. The record is from RefSeq and is a predicted model, not a curated record. NCBI's taxonomy places the organism in Eukaryota, Metazoa, Chordata, Actinopteri, Anguilliformes, Anguillidae. The transcript is spliced from 3 exons.
UUCCCACAGCAGGUGGCCGAGAGCUGGAUCUACAGGAGUCUGAGACAACGAGAGGGAGUAGGGAGAAAAGGCAUACAGAGCUGAAAGGCUAACGCCUGAAAAUAUUUAUGUUGUUUGAUUUAUUUCGCUUUGUUAUUUUAGCUCAUUGCUUUUACCCAGAUCGCCGGAAAUCCGGAAUUAUCAAAUUUCCCUGUGUCCAGCUGUUCUGUCCCUCUCAGGGAUGUCAUGUGGAUUCCAUCCAGCCAACCAAACAGUGUAAAGGAAUUUUAGAAAGAAUUUCUAGAAACUUUUAUAAGAACAUUCUGGUGAAUGAAGAUUGAAGCGGGUAACACAACUUCUGCCUUCUUUCUCUAUCUCCAAUGGAUCGCCUGCCUUGUAACGACAAGUCUCCCUACAGGCAGCUGGGAAGAUGGGUUUGUUUGUAUUAUCAGUGCUCCUGAAGCCUUCAAUCAAUUCCAAAUGACCAACUCCAGAUGUUGUUGUACAACCCCAGACUUGCACUGAUCCUCAAUCAUCCUUGACUGAUGAUUGUAAAAAUGGAGAGAUAAGAUCCAUAGCAUUGAGUUGUCUUCGCACAGUGGAAAGACUGAGAGAAACACCUGUGGAUUCCAUUAGAUCCGAAGCAAGAGUGAGACUUGUUUUUUUUUUCUAUCUCACAAAGAUGCAAUCCAUUAGUACCAUCUUUGUGAUAGUGAUAGUUUUGAUGGUCUACCAGCCCUUGCAUGGUUGUUAGGAGUACAAUUUUCUCUGUCUCUUGCAAUAAUCUUUUGAAAUCUGUUUUUUGAGUGCCUGUUUUCUCUCUUACAGUGCUAUGAAAAAGUAUUUCCUGAUUUCCGCUAUUAUUGCAUAUUUGUCAAACUGAAUGGUUUCAGAUCUUUAGACAAAAU